UACGGAGGGUGCAAGCAUUGAUCGGAAUUACUGGGCGUAAAGGGCGCGUAGGCGGCGAGAAAAGUCAGAUGUGAAAUUCCGGGGCUCAACCCCGGAGCUGCAUUUGAAACUUUCUAGCUAGAGUGCAGUUAGGGUAAACGGAAUUCCACGUGUAGCGGUGAAAUGCGUAGAUAUGUGGAAGAACACCGGUGGUGAAGACGGUUUACUGGGCUGUAACUGACGCUGAGGCGCGAAAGCAUGGGGAG
Molecule: ribosomal RNA, 245 nt
Filed under: uncultured Chlamydiales bacterium
Lineage: Bacteria; Pseudomonadati; Chlamydiota; Chlamydiia; Chlamydiales
Description: partial 16S ribosomal RNA
Rfam family: Bacterial small subunit ribosomal RNA
Source: RNAcentral